GCCGGCGUGGCGAAAUUGGCAAACGCGGAGGUCUGGCGGGCCUCUGGGCUCACGCCCAAGCGGGUUCGACUCCCGUCGCCGGCA
RNAcentral lists this transfer RNA (84 nucleotides) under Gemmatimonadota bacterium. Its description in RNAcentral is "Gemmatimonadetes bacterium tRNA-Ala". It matches the Rfam family "tRNA". From Rfam's summary of the family: Transfer RNA (tRNA) molecules are approximately 80 nucleotides in length. Their secondary structure includes four short double-helical elements and three loops (D, anti-codon, and T loops). The record is from RNAcentral. Lineage: Bacteria; Pseudomonadati; Gemmatimonadota.